GGCGUGCCUAAGAUAUGCAAGUCGAACGUUUCUACUUUGCUCUUCGGAGCGUUGUAGGGAGUGGCAGACGGCUGAGUAACGCGUGGGAAUUUACCCUGGACACGAGCAGAGCGCACCGAAAGGUGGGGUAAUACUCGAUAGCCCAUGUACCUUAUGGUUCAUGGUAAAGCUCCGGCGGUUUGGGAUAAGCCCGCGUCCUAUCAGGUUGUUGGUGGGGUAUUUGCCUACCAAGCCUAUGACGGGUAGCUGGUCUGAGAGGAUGAUCAGCCAGACUGGGACUGCGAUACGGCCCAGACUCCUACGGGAGGCAGCAAUUAGGAAUCGUGCGCAAUGGGGGAAACCCUGACGCCGCGACGCCGCGUGGAGGAUGAAGGCCCAAGGGUCGUAAACUCCUUUUCUCAGGGAACAAGUUCUGAGUGUACCUGAGGAAUAAGUGCCUGCUAAUCACGUGCCAGAAGCAUCGGUAAUACGUGAGGCACGAGCGUUAUCCGGAUUAACUGGGCGUAAAGAGAUGCGUAGGCGUCUUCCUAAGUCACUUGUUAUAGGCUUCGGCUCAACCGGAGUACGCAAGUGAUACUGGGUUGAUUGAGGCAGAUAGGGGAGAAGGGAAUUCCUGGUGGAGCGGUUAAAUGCGUAGAUAUCAGGAGGAACACCGAGGGCGAAGGCACUUCUCUGGAUCUGACCUGACGCUAAGGCUCGAAAGCGUGGGGAGCAAAACGGAUUAGAUACCCGUGUAGUCCACGCCGUAAACGAUCCCUGCUAGGUGU
This 767-nucleotide ribosomal RNA is filed under the name uncultured organism. RNAcentral describes it as "bacterial SSU rRNA". It matches the Rfam family "Bacterial small subunit ribosomal RNA", at positions 41 to 823 of the family's 1533-position model. The record is from RNAcentral.